UCCCAGAUGGCUCAGUGGUAAAGAAUCUGCCUGCAAUGCAGGAGAUGAGGGUUUAAUCCCUCGACUGGGAA
This 71-nucleotide transfer RNA is filed under the name Bos taurus (domestic cattle). It matches the Rfam family "tRNA". Rfam says of the family: Transfer RNA (tRNA) molecules are approximately 80 nucleotides in length. Their secondary structure includes four short double-helical elements and three loops (D, anti-codon, and T loops). Lineage: Eukaryota; Metazoa; Chordata; Mammalia; Artiodactyla; Bovidae. The record is from Rfam by way of RNAcentral. RNAcentral also lists the same sequence under 4 other names.